This 465-nucleotide ribosomal RNA is filed under the name uncultured bacterium. Its description in RNAcentral is "partial 16S ribosomal RNA". It matches the Rfam family "Bacterial small subunit ribosomal RNA", at positions 29 to 507 of the family's 1533-position model. The record is from RNAcentral.
ACGAACGCUGGCGGCGCGCCUAACACAUGCAAGUCGCACGAGCGAGAGAGAGCUUGCUUUCUUGAGCGAGUGGCGAACGGGUGAGUAACGCGUGAGGAACCUGCCUCAAAGAGGGGGACAACAGUUGGAAACGACUGCUAAUACCGCAUAAGCCCACGGUGCCGCAUGGCACAGAGGGAAAAGGAGCAAUCCGCUUUGAGAUGGCCUCGCGUCCGAUUAGCUAGUUGGUGAGGUAACGGCCCACCAAGGCGACGAUCGGUAGCCGGACUGAGAGGUUGAACGGCCACAGUGGGACUGAGACACGGCCCAGACUCCUACGGGAGGCAGCAGUGGGGAAUAUUGCACAAUGGGGGAAACCCUGAUGCAGCGACGCCGCGUGGAGGAAGAAGGUCUUCGGAUUGUAAACUCCUGUUGUUGGGGAAGAUAAUGACGGUACCCAACAAGGAAGUGACGGCUAACUACGUG